CUGAGUACUACACUCUCUACCCUUUGUGAACUAUUAUACCUGUUGCUUCGGCGGCGCCCGCGAGGGUGCCCGCCGGUCUCAUCAGGAUCUCUGUUUUCGAACCCGACGAUACUUCUGAGUGUUCUUAGCGAACUGUCA
RNAcentral lists this unclassified non-coding RNA (138 nucleotides) under soil metagenome. RNAcentral's name for it is "partial internal transcribed spacer 1". The record is from RNAcentral.